RNAcentral lists this ribosomal RNA (483 nucleotides) under uncultured bacterium. RNAcentral's name for it is "partial 16S ribosomal RNA". It matches the Rfam family "Bacterial small subunit ribosomal RNA", at positions 30 to 507 of the family's 1533-position model. The record is from RNAcentral.
UUGAACGCUGGCGGCAGGCCUAACACAUGCAAGUCGAGCGGAUGAAGGGAGCUUGCUCCUGGAUUCAGCGGCGGACGGGUGAGUAAUGCCUAGGAAUCUGCCUGGUAGUGGGGGAUAACGUCCGGAAACGGGCGCUAAUACCGCAUACGUCCUGAGGGAGAAAGUGGGGGAUCUUCGGACCUCACGCUAUCAGAUGAGCCUAGGUCGGAUUAGCUAGUUGGUGGGGUAAAGGCCUACCAAGGCGACGAUCCGUAACUGGUCUGAGAGGAUGAUCAGUCACACUGGAACUGAGACACGGUCCAGACUCCUACGGGAGGCAGCAGUGGGGAAUAUUGGACAAUGGGCGAAAGCCUGAUCCAGCCAUGCCGCGUGUGUGAAGAAGGUCUUCGGAUUGUAAAGCACUUUAAGUUGGGAGGAAGGGCAGUAAGUUAAUACCCUGCUGUUUUGACGUUACCAACAGAAUAAGCACCGGCUAACUUCGUG